RNAcentral lists this unclassified non-coding RNA (356 nucleotides) under Hevea brasiliensis (rubber tree). The record is from RNAcentral. Lineage: Eukaryota; Viridiplantae; Streptophyta; Magnoliopsida; Malpighiales; Euphorbiaceae.
GGAUACCGACGACAACAAGAAGCAAUUCAUAGCUAAUUCUGCAAGAAUAACAAUCCUCCACUCUUAAAACUUAAGCCUUGAGAUUGAAAAUGGCAAUGAUUACAAGCUUCUUCGGUAACCCAACAAGCAGCAUUUUCGAUCCCUUCUCUUCUUUUGCUCUGCGGGAUCCAUUCAAGGACUUUCCGUUCCCUUCUUCUUCUGGUGAAAAUUUGGCCUUUGCUAACACUCGCAUGGACUGGAAGGAGACUCCAGAAGCUCAUAUCUUCAAGGCCGACCUUCCUGGGCUCAAAAAAGAGCAAGUGAAAGUUGAAAUUGAAGAUGCCAGAGUGCUGCAAAUCAGCGGAGAGAGGAAUGUG